UAAAUGGGGCACAGCAAGGUAUAAUUAGAUA
This 31-nucleotide non-coding RNA is filed under the name Mus musculus (house mouse). The record is from RNAcentral. Lineage: Eukaryota; Metazoa; Chordata; Mammalia; Rodentia; Muridae.